GAAUAUUGCGCAAUGGGGGAAACCCUGACGCAGCAACGCCGCGUGAGUGAGGAAGGGUUUCGGCUCGUAAAGCUCUGUCAGAUGGGAAGAAACUGCAGUGGUCUAAUAGGCCAUUGUACUGACGGUACCAUCAAAGGAAGCACCGGCUAACUUCGUGCCAGCAGCCGCGGUAAUACGAAGGGUGCAAGCGUUAUUCGGAUUUACUGGGCGUAAAGCGCGCGCAGGCGGAUAGAUAAGUCAGAUGUGAAAUCUCGGGGCUCAACCCCGAAACUGCGUCUGAAACUAUUUAUCUAGAGUUAUGGAGGGGGAAGUGGAAUUUCGCAUGUAGGGGUAAAAUCCGUAGAGAUGCGAAGGAACACCAGAGGCGAAGGCGACUUCCUGGCCAUUAACUGACGCUGAGGCGCGAAAGCGUGGGGAGCAAACAGG
Molecule: ribosomal RNA, 426 nt
Filed under: uncultured bacterium
Lineage: Bacteria
Description: bacterial SSU rRNA
Rfam family: Bacterial small subunit ribosomal RNA
Source: RNAcentral